This is a long non-coding RNA of Acyrthosiphon pisum (pea aphid), 692 nucleotides long. RefSeq lists it as uncharacterized. NCBI's taxonomy places the organism in Eukaryota, Metazoa, Arthropoda, Insecta, Hemiptera, Aphididae. The transcript has 5 exons. The record is from RefSeq and is a predicted model, not a curated record.
UUGUUUUCGUAGUUUUCGUGACAGAAUAAUAUAUUUUUUUUUACCGUUUGUCUGGCUAAAAUAAUAAAUAGGUGCUUUUCAAGCAUUCAUUUUUAAUAAUACAAAUAAAAUCUCAUCAAAUUUGUGAUUGUGAAAUCGAAAAGUUAUGUUUUUCUAGGUUUCAUUCAUGUACAGUAGGUACUCGGCGAGAUUGAAGUAGACAUAUUAUAAUUAGAAGAGAAGAAACGAGAAGAAAAUGGCUUAACGUUUUUGGAAUUGAUCAUUGUCAUAAUUGGCAACGUAUAUGUAGGGAUCAUUUUUUAGAAGAAAACUAUAAGCCGGAAAAAAGUAGUAAUGCUGCUCAAAGUAAUGAUGUUGAAACUGGAAAUCAUGUAAUUUUACCAAUGGAACAAGAUAUGAGAGAGGAAAAUAUUGAAAAUGCUGUUGUAAAUAAUUUUAAAUCACCAAGAUAGUCAUUUAGACUUACAAGAAACAACGAGGAUAAGAGUAAUAAAAAUAUACCGGACCAUACUUCAGGAUCUGGAUUACAAUGUUCUGUUAAAAACUGUUUUAACAGGUAUUCAAAGAAUCUUAGUCUCUUUGGCUAUCCUAAGGAUUUCACGCUCAGAAAAAAGUGGAUAGAAAAAUGUGAAAUAAAAAAAAAUCCUGUCAGUUGUGAAUUAUGCUUAUGGCAUAAUUUAAAAAAAAAAAUA